Molecule: long non-coding RNA, 1387 nt
Organism: Equus caballus (horse)
Lineage: Eukaryota; Metazoa; Chordata; Mammalia; Perissodactyla; Equidae
Source: RefSeq, a predicted model, not a curated record
GCCCCCGGGAGCCGCCUGCGCUGUGGGGCGGGGAGGGCCCGAGCCCCCGCGGCCGGUGCGGGAGGAUCCUCGCGCUCUCCUUUCUCCAAGGGAGGGAGACGGAGAGGGGAAACGGAGAGUCAGCUGGAAGUGGAUGGACAGGAGACUCGCCCCUCACUGAGAUGGAGACGGAGAGGGGGAGUGCGGGGUUUGGUUCCUCCCCAGCGCUGACCCCAGUCAACGACUAGCUUCAUCUGUGAGGCGAUCCCAGGAAUCAAGCGAGGGAGAGUUCCUUGGUCACCUGGAGAGAAAAAAAGAGGGCCCAACUUCAUCAGUGAUGUGUCUGCACCAUGGUGGGGUUCAAGGACCACCUUCAUGUCACUAAGAAUGAUCUUGAUGACUCUGUGAAUCUGCCUGCCACAGAGAAGAGAUGCAGACACAGAGAGGACACUGUGUGAUGACGGAGGCAGAGAUUAGAGUGAUGUGUCUACAAGCCGAGGAGUGCCAAGGAUUGCCAGCGGACACCAGAAGCUAGGAUGGAGCAAGGAAGGACGCUCCCCUGGUGCCUCAGAGGGAGCAUGGCCCUACUGACACUUUGAUUUUGGACUUGUAGCCUCCAGAACCAUGGGAGAAUAAAUUUCUGUUUUUUGAGCCACCUAGUUUGUUGUAUUUUGCUAUGGCAGCCUUGGGAAACAAAUACAACAUCCCAUAAUUACACAUUAUGCUUGAGUUGAAAUUAUUUGCUUUCUUGCCAUCUCCUACCCCCAAUAGCUCCGUAAAGAAAGAAACUUUGUCUUAUUCUACUCGUUAACCCCAGUACAACAUCUGGCACAUGUAGGCACUCAUAAAUGAUUGUUAAACUUAAAUGCUAUAGUGUCAAUGAUCAUUGAUGACUUUUCCCAAACCCAAAGUUGUUAAUCAGUUUAUACUUGACAGUGAAAAGACAAUUUUGCAUAUUAUUGAACAUUCCAAAUUGUAAUGUCUUCUCAGUGAAAAAUCUAUAAGCAUCUUCAGACAUCUCUGAUUUGCAGGCCCUUUGUCUUAUCUCAUUUAGUUAACAAUUUCACAUGAGCAUUUGGUUUAAAGGCCACAAAGGAGGUAGCACAGCAGAGUGGUCAAGAGCUUGGACUGUGAAGUCAAAGGAACUUGCAUUUGAAUCCUGACUUCACCUUUUUUUUAGUCCUCUGACUUUGGGCAAAUUAUUUAACCUUUAAAGCAUGUUAUUUUCAUUAUAGAACAGUUGAGAAGAUUAGAUCAUAUAACACAUGUAAAGUGCAUAGCAUGGUCCCUGGCAUUUGGUACUCAAUAAAUGUUAGUGAUUAUUGCUGUUAAGAAAUCACACAAUGGGGGCUGGCCCCUGGCCGAGUGGUUAAGUUCACGUGCUCUUCUUCGGAGGCCCAGGGUUUCG